This 1493-nucleotide long non-coding RNA is filed under the name Cricetulus griseus (Chinese hamster). RNAcentral's name for it is "lncRNA (ENSCGRG00000024977.1)". The record is from RNAcentral. Lineage: Eukaryota; Metazoa; Chordata; Mammalia; Rodentia; Cricetidae.
AUGAGGCCUGUGCUGUUUUUGCAGGUGCAGCGGUACCUGGAGAAGAGCAUGAUCAGCAGGAAGCUCUUUGGCUUCACAGAACGCUUUGGAGUUGUCCUUCCAUCCCCCUCAACCUCCCAGGAGAACUGCAAUCUGGAUGGCUUCCAGCACUUCCUGAAGAGCCUGCAGUCUGGGCCUGCUGAUGACUCCCUGGAGGAGGGCCUGGCCACAGCCCCGCGACCUGCCUCCCCGCUGAUGCACAUUGAGGCCUUUCUGGCAGCUCUCACCACUGCCAACCAGGAUGGCAGGGUUAUCCUGAGCCGCCAAGGCAGCGUUGGUGAAAGCAGCCUCAAAUUCUUGCUCUUGAACCCAGCCGUGCACUUUGCCCAGGUGGUGAGGGAGUGCCGAGCAGUGGUCAUUGCAGGUGGCACCAUGCAGCCGGUAAGGCACCAGGACAUCCGUCCAGGUCUCCUCUCUGUCCCCUGGAACCCUAAACAGAAAUGGGCUAGCACGUGCAGACCCAGCAGGGCCACUAGUGCCCCUGCCCCUGCCUUGUAGGCUGGUGGGGUUGUUGUGCUAUGGCUCGUGUCUGUCUGCAUCCCCUGGAGCAGGCUUCUCUGAGAAACAGCCCUUCGGAGUCUCAGACUCUCACUAGGUACCUCCCUCUCAUUACUUUCCUAUAGCAGCCUCUCUCAGAAAGUCAUUUCAUGUAUGCUUUUAUACAGUCAGUGCUGCUGUAAUAACAUAUGUGUGCACAUAUAUGCAGUUUGCAUAUGUACUUUUUUUUAAAACCACACUUCUACAUUAUUGGUAUAAUUUGCUUUUUAUCUCUGCAACAAAAUGUUAAUAUUUAUCCUUGUCAGCAAAUAUUUAUUCUAGCAUAUUCUGUGUUGCAUUCUAACCAUGUAGAUGUGCUACUCACACAACACCUGCUUAGUUGGUUCCUCAGCCCAUUUUCCUGUUACUGCUGGUUUUCACAGUUCUGUGAUUAAUGCACACAUGGACCUCAGAACCAUUUAUGGGUCAGGCUGUCAAGGCACAUUCCAAGCCCAUAGGCAUUUGUUUUGUUUUUGGUUUGCCCUUCAUGUGUACAGAUUUGUACAUUUGUAUUCAUUUGAUGGGUUAAUUUUGUGCAUGGUCAUUAUUCUGGUGUGUGUGCGUGCGCAUGUGUGUGAGAUGGGGUCUCACUAUGUAGUCUUUGUGUUUGUUUUGAGACAGGGUGUCUCUACAUAGCCCUUGCAUUCACUGUGUAGACCAAGCUGGCUUUAAACUCAGAGAUCCACCUGCCUCUGCUCCUCAAGUCUUGAUGUUAAAGACCUGCACCACCAUGCCAGCUCUACUGUGUAUGGAGUUUAGACUGUUGUCAGUCACCGUGUGGAUGCUGGGAGCCAAACUCUGGUCCUGUGCAAGAGCAUUGAGGGCUCUUAACCACAAGUCCAUCUUUCUGGCCCCCAAUUCUUUUCUUACAUGUUUUGCCCACGUAUAUAUGUUUUCUGUGUUCCUCUUUUUUUUUU